Molecule: long non-coding RNA, 756 nt
Organism: Portunus trituberculatus (swimming crab)
Lineage: Eukaryota; Metazoa; Arthropoda; Malacostraca; Decapoda; Portunidae
Exons: 5
Source: RefSeq, a predicted model, not a curated record
CCCCCUCCCAGUAUAAUCACGCCCCUCCCUCACCCCUCACUCUUCACCCCUGAUCCCUCUCAGAGCAGGCAUUGACCCAGCGAGAGUAGCCAGCUGGUUGUCAAGGAGUUGCUACGGACGCCACCAAGACAAUCCCGCCCUCCGCCUUCCCGCUUCUGUCUCUUGAAGAAGCCACACCGCCACCACCAGCGGAACACCAGUGCUGUGGGCUUCGGUAAGGCAAUAUGCAGACGGCGGCAGCGGCGAUAGUGGCGGUAGAGGCGGCGGGCGAGACGGCAGCGGCGAGGUGAGGUGAAGAGAGGGCAGGAAAGGUCAAGAGGAAGGUCGCCAUGAGGGAUGAGGAAGGAGUGCGCCUGGAUCUGUACAACUAUGACCUUCCCCAGAAUGCCUCGCGACCUCACAUCUUAACCAGUCCGAGGUCACUUCAUGCUUGUCGACAUUUGGGGAUUAGGCCGGUGGAUCUCCUGCAGCAGCCGCGGGAGGAGUUCGAGGCGACACACCCCAGCCUACCUCUCGCCCAGCGCCUCGUUGCCUACCAAUCCCAGGAGAGGAGAAGACUUAAGCGGCUUCGUGAAGCAAGAGAGCUGAGAGAUAGACUGGUUGAGGACGAUAUUAGGAGAGGAAAUGAAGGUGAGGGAGCGGCGACAGAGCUGGAGAAAGGAGAAAGGGAGCAAGAAGAAGGAAAAGAGAAGAGAGAUAAGGAAGAGGAUGACAAGAGAGAACAAGAAGAGGAACCGGGAACAAGUAAAGGAGGAG